This is a transfer RNA of Campylobacter sp., 95 nucleotides long. It matches the Rfam family "Selenocysteine transfer RNA". The record is from Rfam. NCBI's taxonomy places the organism in Bacteria, Pseudomonadati, Campylobacterota, Epsilonproteobacteria, Campylobacterales, Campylobacteraceae.
UGGAGGAUAAAGUGUUCUGGUGUCACUCACGGACUUCAAAUCCGAGGACAGGGCGGUUGACCGUUUUGUGGGGAGUUCGAUUCUCUCAUCCUCUC